This 468-nucleotide ribosomal RNA is filed under the name uncultured bacterium. RNAcentral's name for it is "partial 16S ribosomal RNA". It matches the Rfam family "Bacterial small subunit ribosomal RNA", at positions 28 to 507 of the family's 1533-position model. The record is from RNAcentral.
GACGAACGCUGGCGGCGUGCUUAACACAUGCAAGUCGAACGGAAAGGCCCUGCUUUUGUGGGGUGCUCGAGCGGCGAACGGGUGAGUAACACGUGAGUAACCUGCCCUUGACUUUGGGAUAACUUCAGGAGACUGGGGCUAAUACCGGAUAGGAGCUCCUGCUGCAUGGUGGGGGUUGGAAAGUUUCGGCGGUUGGGGAUGGACUCGCGGCUUAUCAGCUUGUUGGUGGGGUAGUGGCUUACCAAGGCUUUGACGGGUAGCCGGCCUGAGAGGGUGACCGGCCACAUUGGGACUGAGAUACGGCCCAGACUCCUACGGGAGGCAGCAGUGGGGAAUAUUGCACAAUGGGCGGAAGCCUGAUGCAGCAACGCCGCGUGCGGGAUGACGGCCUUCGGGUUGUAAACCGCUUUCGCCUGUGACGAAGCGUGAGUGACGGUAAUGGGUAAAGAAGCACCGGCUAACUACGUG